GAAAGCAUUUUGUGUUUGGGCCUUUGCACAUGCCACUCCCUCUGCUUGAAAUGUCCUUCCCUUUCUUCUUCUGCCUCACUCCUCCUGAUCCUCAGGAUCCACUGAAGCUUCACUUCCUUCAAGAAGCCAGCCCAGACUUCUCAGUCUGGGUUUCGUGUUUCCACAGCACCUUCAUUUACUUAUCACAGUACUUACAAUAAUGAGUCCCAAUUGUUUGUUUACUUGUCCUCAUAAGUCCUCAAGCUCUUUGAAGGCAAGUCCAUGGGUUACUCCCCUUUAUAAUCCUAGAAUCCAUCCCUAUGAUGAUCUGAGAUUAGGCCCUCAGCAAAUAUUUGACAACUGAGUAGCUAAUGGCUGUAGGCGUAAAAAAUAGUCUUGGAACCAUGGAGCCUUUUAAACUCAUUAGUGCCAUUCAUCAUGUAGUUCUGACUUUCCUCCUGCUAAGCACACAGUAGGACUGCACUCCCUGGCUCCCUUGUAGUUGGGUGGGGACCAUGUGAAUAUUCUGGUCAAUGAAUUAUAAGCAGAAUUACCGAGUGUCACUUUUAAGCUGACACAUUUAAUGCCAGAACUCUCUUUCCCUUUGCUUUGAAAACCUGCUAUGAUCCAGAUGGUGGCUUCUCUAUCAAUCAGAAUUCUCAAGUGCCAACAACACUGAGCAGAGACUCCUGCUGACCUGUGAUUAACAUUUAGGGUAAGUGAGAAUAAGCCUUUAUCACAACAAGUUUCUGAUUUCUUUUUAGCCAGCAUAGCCAGUCAAAACUAACACACCCAUGUGGCCCAUAGGGCUCCAAGGACUUAAUCUAGACUAUAUUCUAUCCUCCUACCCUCAUUCUGGUCCUGUCCACUGCCCAUGCUGACCCCAGUCUAACCAACUCCCUCUCACUCAGAUAAAGAAGGAAGGAAAGAAGGAAGGAAGAAAGGAAGGGAGGGAGGAAGACUAGACCACCCUCAGACAGCAAAGGGAGAGCUGGACAGUGUUCCUCUCAUUCAGUUAUUUAGGGCUCCUUAAAACUCCAAGGGCAUUUGCCCUCUAAAUCUGACUCUUGGCUCAUUCCCAACUCAUAUUUACCCUGAGAUAACUUUUAUAGGUAGGUAUACAUGCCCGGAGGGGGCAAGAGCUCACAAUUCACACAAUAUCACACCCAUGCCACCUACCAGCUUGCCUUCCACAGCCAGAGUCCAUACCACUGACAACUCACAAAAUGGUCCUCUGCUAGUCCUCACCCCUCAUCUGCCAAGGGCUGUCUGUUCUUUAAGAUACUGAGUCAGCAUGUUUUCCAAGAUAUGAAGCCCGUCAAUCAUGCACAUCAGGAGUCAAGGUUGGGCACCAACCAGGCCAGGUUGCAUCUCGUUCUAGCCUCUGAGUCCUGGGGGCUCAU
RNAcentral lists this long non-coding RNA (1382 nucleotides) under Sus scrofa (pig). Its description in RNAcentral is "lncRNA (ENSSSCG00030037037.1, ENSSSCG00085019921.1)". The record is from RNAcentral. Lineage: Eukaryota; Metazoa; Chordata; Mammalia; Artiodactyla; Suidae.